UACAGCAGCAUCUCUCAUGUAGACAGCAUACAAUUUGGACUCGUAUUUCUUAUUACUUUUAUCGUCUGUAGCUGUAUCUUGAUCUGAAAAUUUGAAAAAUGAUAAAAUGUCUGCAAUGUCAUUUGCAGACGUACCCCUGCACCAUUUCUAUGAUUAAGAAGAUGAGCACAUUAAAAAAAGCAACAUGCAAUGUAACUCUGCACCACGGGUAGGCUCGAGAUGGGCAAACCAAAAAGCAUCAUGCAGUAAAUAUUAAAUUAAUAUUUAAGUAAAAGAGAGAAUCUCACUUUAAAAAAACGCAUUACAUUAUUAACUUAGAACAGAAUACAAUCGUUAAUGUAUACUAUUAUGCAGUAGAAACUGCAAUAACGUUAAUGAAAUUCAAAUAGGAUUUUGAGAUUGGAAUGCACUGUGUAAAAAAAAAAACUUUCAGUAAUGCAUGAAUAAAGAUGAUUUGGACAUCUUAAACAUAUAACUAUUAAAAGAUCUGAAAGCCACAUACGAUAAUGGUUUACAACAUUUUCAUCUAAUUAAAUUAUCGUAUGUAGUAGUCUAUUUUUAAAAUCAAAAAAGGUAAGGACAAAAAAAGAAGCAUGCAGUUA
Belonocnema kinseyi is the source of this 602-nucleotide long non-coding RNA. RefSeq lists it as uncharacterized. Lineage: Eukaryota; Metazoa; Arthropoda; Insecta; Hymenoptera; Cynipidae. The record is from RefSeq and is a predicted model, not a curated record. The transcript is spliced from 3 exons.